RNAcentral lists this small RNA (124 nucleotides) under Marmota monax (woodchuck). The record is from RNAcentral. Lineage: Eukaryota; Metazoa; Chordata; Mammalia; Rodentia; Sciuridae.
GCUGGACAUGGUGGCACAUGCCUGUAAUCCCAGCAACUUGGAGGCUGAGGCAGGAGGACUGCAAGUUCAAAGCCAGCCUCAGCAAAAGCAAGGUGCUAAGCAACUCAGUGAGAUCUUGUCUCUA